This 68-nucleotide transfer RNA is filed under the name Arthroleptis poecilonotus (West African screeching frog). Its description in RNAcentral is "tRNA-Ala". Lineage: Eukaryota; Metazoa; Chordata; Amphibia; Anura; Arthroleptidae. The record is from RNAcentral.
AAGGCCUUAUCUUAAUUAAAGAAUCUGAUUUGCAUUCAGAAGAUGUAAGAAAAGACUUGCAGGCCUUC